UUAAGUUGUCAUUCGACUUUUCGUUCAGACUGCAAUCAAGCUUCUUUUCGCAAGUUGGUUUCGCUGGGGCUACCGGCAGACUGACCCGACUCCGCCGCGCGUGGCGGCGGGGAGGAGCUGCCGAAGCAACCGGGGCGUUUCACAAGGGGUUUCACGCUGACCGCGGCCGGCGCGCCUUUUGACGGGCGCGCGGCGCGGCAGGUGUCGGGGGGCAGAACCCCCCGGUUUCUAAGUAAUGAUCCUUCCGCAGGUUCACCUACGGAAA
RNAcentral lists this unclassified non-coding RNA (265 nucleotides) under uncultured fungus. Its description in RNAcentral is "sequence contains ITS1". The record is from RNAcentral. Lineage: Eukaryota; Fungi.